This 315-nucleotide unclassified non-coding RNA is filed under the name plant metagenome. RNAcentral describes it as "partial contains 5.8S ribosomal RNA, internal transcribed spacer 2, and large subunit ribosomal RNA". The stretch from base 1 to 106 matches the Rfam family "5.8S ribosomal RNA", at positions 49 to 154 of the family's 154-position model. The record is from RNAcentral.
CGAAAUGCGAUAAUUAAUGUGAAUUGCAGAAUUCAGUGAAUCAUCGAGUCUUUGAACGCACAUUGCGCCCCCUGGUAUUCCGGGGGGCAUGCCUGUCCGAGCGUCAUUGCUGCCCUCAAGCACGGCUUGUGUGUUGGGCUUCCGUCCCUGGCAACGGGGACGGGCCCAAAAGGCAGUGGCGGCACCAUGUCUGGUCCUCGAGCGUAUGGGGCUUUGUCACCCGCUCCCGUAGGUCCAGCUGGCAGCUAGCCUCGCAACCAAUCUUUUUAACCAAGUUGACCUCGGAUCAGGUAGGGAUACCCGCUGAACUUAAGC